CUCUCAGGCCUGUUGGAAUGUCACUUCAUCCACGCAGCCUUUCUGGACCACCUCUCUAGGAAGGCGUGCCCCUCCCUCCCACCUGAUCCUUCGGCCCUUUGCCUUGUUUUAUUCUGCCUCGGGGAAUCUUAGGACUGCCUGCCCCGUGCUGUACACUCAUCUGUGUCUUUGCCUAUUGUCUUCUCAAUCAGACUUUCUCUGAAAUCCCCAGCAUGGAAACCAGGCACAACACAAAGUAGAUACUCAAUGAGUAUUUGCUGAAAGAACGGAAGAUGAAAGCAACACCUGGUGUGGGUUGUGAUGGUUCUACAGAAUGACUUGGACAAGGGGGCUCCCAGAGAAAAGGAGAAGAGAGGAAGAGCUGAGCUGCUCAGGUCCCAUCCAUUCACAUCCGACUCACCACUCUGUAUCUCAUUCCACCUCCUUGGGGAGGAAGAUGGGGUGGGGAAAGAAGAGUGGGGAGAAGCCCUCCCUCCCACAAUGUAUGUUGUUUCAUCUUGUUUCAGACUCAUGCUUGUAUGAUUUUUGUCUUUAUCCUUAUAAUUUGAGUUUUGCCAGAAUGUGCCUGGAAAUGGUGCCCCUUUCAUUAAUUUUGCCUGAAAUAUGAUAUAAUAUCUCUACGUGCUCCCUACAUCUUCUCCAAUUCCAUGAAGAUGUCUUAUUUCUUAUAUUCUUAUGUCUGAUUUCAUUAUAGAUUUUCUUGUUCUGCAUUCUGGGAGAGCUUCUCAAAUUCAUACUCAGGCCAUUGAUCAGGAAUCAGUCAUUAAUCUGCAAUGAUGAUUGUGUUCUUUUUGGCCUCAUGGCUGAAUUUUAAUUCUGCAACUGCAACUUUCAUUUCCUUUCAAUACUUCUUUGUCUCCUCAGUCCCAUCUCCAGGUCAGGGUUGUGUCUCAAGACAAUUCUCUUUCAACCUCAACCCCUUCUCUCCUAGGAUGUUCUAUUCUUCUUCUCCUUGGGCCAUGUCUUCUGGCUUUGUCUUCUAAACUUUUCUUCUGGUUCCUAGAGUAAAUCAUUUUCAGAAGCACGUAUUUCCCCUGAAUAUUAUGGAUGUUUCAUUCAUUCAUUCAACAAUGCAAUUUAUUGACUGCCCAUCCAGGGCUGAGCACUGAAUUAGUCUCAGGAGCAGCCCAGAGCCAGCAAGUCCCUGUCCCCAUAGAUGAUAGAAUCAAAUGGGGAAAUUAGGCAAUUAUACAGGUAAUUUUAAUUAAGUGUGACAAGUGCCAUAAAUAAGAUGUGGGCAGGGUUAUAGCACAGUGUAUAGUAUGAGCACACAACCGUGGCUGGGCAGAGAGGGAGUGGGUAGGUAGAGGUUGCUACCUGCUCUUAUGCUGAGCUGUUGCUUUUUCUUAAUACUCAUGUUUUUGAAUUUGGGUCCCUCCACCCCCAUCUUUGGUCACUGUCAAUGGCUUCUUGUGUGAUGACAGUUGGGAUGUUGAGUUCCCCAUGUACUUCCUCUCACUGUCUAUUUGGGUGUCAUGCCAAUCCCCCUUCAGGUCAAUAGGCAGGUGACAUGUUGAUGUACACAGCCUCUGGUCCAAUCUCCAGUGUGGCAAGGCAGGUCCUUUCGUGCCUAGCUGCCAACAUUAGGUGUAAUAGUCUAUCCCCACUGCCUUACUUCUGACCUCCUGAACCAAUCUGUAAUGUCCAAGCAAAACCAAAAUCUCCAGGAAGCAUUGUUUUUUGCACCCUUCAGGAGUAAAUAUGUCCAGAGUGGACAAUUUAAUUCUAAAAUGUGACCCCUUUCAGUACAAAUUAAAAUGCAUUCGGUGCAGCAUUUAUGGGAAACUAUGGAAGGCAUAUUGCAUUUCCAGUGCUCUCUGGUCAUUGGGAGAGAUAGCCUGGGUGAUGUGGGGAGGUAGAGAAUUCUGGGAACUUCCCCCACAGCUGACCCACUAGAAUGUGGAGCACAGAGAGCACCAGUGAAUCUGAUUCUAAGGAAGGAAAAACAAAAAUUCAUUUCUCAAAGGAAAGAAGAAGAAAUGAAACUCAGGCUAGUGGAGAAAGAGAAUACAGCAAGGUUUCAAGGAGUUCAGAUAAAUAUUUAAACUUGGAAGGCAUUAUGAGUCUCCCAGAACGGUAUGCAUCAUUAAUUCCCAGGCAGUCAGGUUAACAAUGAGCUGCUAAAGAGAUGACCUCUUGAAUUAUUCUUUUAAUGGAUUUCCCAGGUUAAAGUAGAUUUCAUUGAAGGUCAAUCAAUAGACAAUUUUACCCAGGCCUGGUGAUUAAAAGAAAACCAUAAAGAAAUCCUGUGACAGUAAUCAUUUUGGCUCAAUCAGACCUUCCUUUCAACCUGAAAAGCCCUAGAUGAAGGCCACAGCAUGGAUUAGGGCAGGGGCUCCUGGUUCUAUUUUCCAUUAAUCCCCUCAUCCUGAGUGAGUUUUAACUACCCCUGCCCCUUUAGCCAGAUGGCUCACUCCACACCCCCAGGCAAAGAGAAGAAAUUCAUGCUCCUUUCCUUUCUGGUAGAUGAGGCACACUGGAAUAAUUUAAAUUAACAGUGUAGAUCUAGCUUAUUUCUUGAAUUCCCAAUGAUUGGUCACAGUGAAUUAGCAUGAGUCAGAAUUUUAGUUUGACAGAAGUGAUUAUAUUAGGAUCCCUGUGAGUCUCUGGGUCUCUCCAACUCUCCUUCUUUAUUAGAAGUAGCCUCGGGAAAUCAGGAGGAAAUGAGAUGCCCAGGAACAUGUAUCUCAGUGAUCCACCAUUGACUUGGUUAGGAAAUUUGGGGUAGAGGAGGGCUUCUCGAAAAUGAAAUUGCCUUCAGGUCUUGCCAGUUGAUGCAAAAUGCAUCGAGGAAUUAUAACAUUGGAAGGAAAGGGGGCUUUCCUUUCUCCAUCAUUUAUCAUCAGGGAGUCAGUGGAACCAACGUUCUUUCUUUGAAAGGUGGGUCUUUAAGAGUGAAAUAUUGAAUCUUUCUUUCCUUUUUCUUUCUUUUCUUAAUAGUCCACGACUUUUUCUAAAAGUGUGUUUUACCUGAUCCAGCAUUUUGAGUUUAUUAGACAGGAUUUUUCCAAGGCUUGCUAUUUAUUUUCACAGUCUCGCUUUUCACCGAUUCAAGACAAUGAAGAAGAAAGAUCCUUGUUGCCAUGUGGUUAUUUUGAAUAAAUUAGGCUUUAAAGGGGCUGCUGGUUUUCAGUUCACACACACAAUCGAACUCUGCUGUAGUUUCCAUAUUUAUAAAAAAUCCCUGCUGUGAAGCUAACAAGGAAAAAGCCUCUGAAUCUCUUCUUUCUGCUUAUCAAGAAUCAAAAUAGAAACAAGGAAUGUUUGAAAUAAUACAGAAAUGGCACUGAGGAAUGUGAACAUUCUGGGGGGAAGGGAAUAACUUAUGUGUUGUUGGGGGUGCUUGUGCAUGCGAAUAUAAAAAUUGAUAUUCAUAGACUCGUUAACCACAGUGUUAGGGGGCUAGAGAUUUGAUUUAAUCCUUGAUAUUUUUAUUUUCAUAAAGGCCAGAGAAAAAAGGUGUUUCCUUUGGAGACAAGAAUAGCUUCUUGAAAGACUUUAGUUAUUAUUGCUGUUGAAAAGCUCUGAAGCAGCUCGGCAGCGACUCUAAGAAUACUACUGGGCUCUCUCAGUCACACUGAAGCAUCUUUUCUGAGUUGAGACAUAGGUGAAAAUGUGUGCGCGCCUACAUGCAAAGCGUGAUAUUCACAUGUACAUUCUUAAACAUGUAGCAUCAGCAUUUGAAAGGCUUACCAAAAAAAGAAAAAAAAAAAGCUGGAAUUCAAACCCAGAAACCAGGAAGCAGCUGCAGAAAUACCUAGGUGUGACUCUACAGAGAUUCUGGCUCCCUUUCCAGAUGCAUUGAUCUUAGAACUUGACAACUGAGAAAUGGAUCUUUACCAUUCUUUUUGCCUAAAGUAUUAUAUAUACUUGAAUGCAACAUUGUGUUUUAUUUUCCAACUCUGCCAAGAUUCAAUCUACUGGUAUUGAAUAUCCACCAAAAGAAUGCUAGACUAUUACAAAGCAUGCACAAAAGAGGUACAGAAAACCCAUACGCCUUAUUCUCUCUCCAACUCUGAUAGCGAUAAAACACCGACUUCACCCUUUACACUCAGAGAUUCUGACUAAUAAGCAGAGACAGAUAGGAGAAAGUGAAAUUGAAUCUCAAUUAUAAGAGAUAUAAGAGAAUGACUGUUUUUAUUGCAGUUGUAGAGUUUGGUCUUUUCUAUGCUUUACUUAAUUCUGUUACUAAAAAAAAAAAAAAAAAAAAAAAAAAAAGAUCUUUUUUGUUUAAAUUCAGCUGCAAGAGCCUAAAGAGGUUUGAAUAGUGGCAAACUGUAAUAAAUCAUUUUAAAAGGGAAAAGAUUUCACAAAAGUAAAUCAGAGUCAUUUCCCUACCUUAGAACUUGAGUUUCCAUUACUUCCAGGAGGUUUUCAACUUCAGGAUGAAUAGAGUCACCAGAAGAAUAAUUUAUUUCAGUUUAAAGUUGGCCAUAUGAAUGAGUAUGGAAUUUGAAACAGAGUAAAAUAAUAGGACAUUUAAUACUGCUUGUCAAAGACUACUUACCCAUUCAGCCUAUGAAGAUAUAUACUUGGAGAACCAGAUUGUCAACAGAAUUAAGAAUCUGGAAGACUUAGAGGGUUAGGGCUUGGCUUCCAAUACAGCCACCCGAUCAACAUAUUGACUAUUGCUUGGCCCUUUGGGAACUAUUGGGUGGCUGAUCCAAUUUGAGAUGGAAAAAAAAAAAGAGGAAGAAGAAGAAUCUUCAAUGUAGAAGAAAAGGCAGAGUGACAAAAACCCAUCAUUAGAAAGAAGUCAUGUUAAUUCCUUGCCCAUGGUCUCGUAACAUAUUUUAAUGACUUCCUAUGCCUUCUGGUUAAAACUCAAGCUUUGCAGCCUGGCACCAAUUUCUAUCCGGUUUCCCUUGCCUGUACUUUUACAAGCUGCUUCUCCUUCACCUCAUUCGUAUUCAAUGUCUGGGACUCAGUUCAAGGCUCUUACUUUGGAAACGUUCCCUGACUUUGCUCACUGAUCCCUUCUCCAGUUUUCUUCUUUCACAUUACCAUAGCACCUUGAAUUUACAAGGCACAAAAUCCAUGGCUCGUCAGUGUUCUUUUAUGCCUCUACUCCAUCAUAAGCUCCUAGCUCAAAGGACUCGUUCCUCCACCUCCUAUUGGUAGCACUGUGCCAGGUCGUGUCCACUCACCACUGCAGACCCUUUCUCCAGCCUUCUCCUGCCUGCUCUGUGCCCCAGGGUGAAGCCACAGGCAGGCAGUGCUCUCUGGCUUCUAGCUGGGAAGAUGCCAAAGAAAACUGGAGGGUAGGCCAGGCACGAUGGCUCAUGCCUAUAAUCCCAGCACUUUGGGAGGCCGAGGCAGGUGGAUCACUUGGGGUCAGGGGUUUGAGACCAGCCUGGCCAACAUGGUGAAACCCCAUCUCUACUAAAAUUACAAAAAUUAGCUGGGUGUGGUGGUGGGUGCCUGUAAUCCCAGCUACUUGGUGGGCUGAGGCAGGAGAGUCACUUGAGCCCUGGAGGCGGAGGUUGCAGUGAGCUGAGAUCAGGCCACUGCACUCCAGCCUGGGCGACAGAGCAAGACUCUGUCUCAAAAUAAAAAAAAUAAAAUAAAGGAAAAAGAAAAAAAAUGGAGAGUGGAGGGUGGGAAGAGAUAGGAGUCUGGGUACUUAUUCUCCUGGGUCCCUCCCUCCAAGCCAUGGGUUGGCCAAGGCAGCAAGCCCCUGUCUAAGUAGCCUCUUCGCUACAGUGACAGUUCCCCAGGUUCUAGAACCCCUUCUUCCCCUUCCUGUUCAGGCCUGGGGACCUGGGGACAGUAACAGCUUCCCACUCUUGCCUGUCCUCGGUGCUUUGUCAUCCUUUAUUGAUUUUCUUAACCCUGCAGCAGCAUGGUAAACAGUUCCCUCGUUAAACCCUCCUCAAUUAACCUUAUUGACGGUACCAUUGCUUUUCUGCCAAGAUCCUAACCAAUGCAUUGCCAAGCAGAAUCCCCAGCAAAUCUAGGAAUCUGUAAAUAUUUGGUGAGUGUGUUUAUAAAACUAAGAUCAUGCCAAAGUGGACAUCGGGUGACUGGAGUUCUGAUGCUAGCUCUAGCUCAGGCAAGUCGUGUGAGUUCAGGCAAUGCUAAAAGCCCCCACCUCUCAACUUUUCCCAAACAUAAAAGAAAGCUUAGAUGCAGAGACCGCUUCUACAAUCCCCAUCACUGCUAAGUGCACUUCUCUUGCACAUCUCACUUUUUGGGGUGGAUGCUCACUUCUCUCCCCCACCCAAGUCUUAGAUAGGGAGAAGGCUGCCUUGAGGCUCUGCCAUGGGAUCGAUUCCUCCUAAGCUAGAAGAUAUUGAUCCCGUGACAAUUGCUGUCCUGCCUUUCUUUCUGGGAGGAGCUGGCUGUGGGCGCCAGGAUUGUGCAAAAGGGAGGUGUUUCUGAAUAACAAUGGUGCAUUGUCUCAUUAUCGAUUGUUCUGCAGUCUAACUGGGUUAGAUGGGUGCACAUUUCAGACCCCUCCCAAGCAAACCAAAUCCUUUAAAGGGAGAGAGGCAGGUGUAGACAGGACAGGGUUAUUUUAUUUCAUAUGAAGAUGCUGAGCUCCUGAUGAGUUACAUUUUUAUUUCUUUUUGAAUGCUAAAAAUGACUGAUGGCCACAGUCCUGGCAGUGACCCUGGCUUGGCCCUAGUGGCUUGGGCCUCAGUUGUACUCCAGGUCUUGUCCUUGCCAGCCUGUCCUGAAACCCUCACUGAGCUUAGCGGUGUGCUCACAUCUCCUGGGAAUGUUCUGCCCCUGGCCGAGCUCUGCAUCUGGCUAACUUCUCCAGCAGGCGCAGUAGCAGAGGCCCACCACGCUGUUCAAGGCACCUGAUGUUUCAUUAAUCAAAAAUGUUUUAAUUUCUUUUAAACUUAGAAAAACGUGAAUAGAAUAAGUGAAUUCAUAUAAUAAUGAAUUAAGUUGCAUUAUAUGUCUUUAUGUCAUUGUGUUUGUAAAAUAUAAUUUUUAAUACUUUCUAUGAAAGAGAAGGCCACAAAGGCAAAAGCACCCAGGGCCCCCAAGUCAUGAUGCUACCCUGCCCUGCAGAAUGCCAGCAAUGAAGUAUUCCUUGGGCAAAUAAAGUCUGGGAACUCAAGGGCCACACCUCCCCUGGGAGAGUCAUAUCCUACGCUGGCAUGUCAAAGAGCCAGAGCCGUGCUGCAGUGGGAAAAUCUGUUUCACUUCCUUUAAGCCAACUAUUCCCAAACGUAUUUGCACACAGAACACUUGCAGAAACACCGACCUAAACUUUACUUGUUUUAUUUCUCUUUUCAGCCUAGAUAAUUUCUCAAAACUUAAGUAGUACAACCUUGUAUUUAUUUUGUAAAUGUCCCUUGGGAAAUUUAUAGUUAUAGAUGCCUAUUUUUUAAAAGAAGCAAGAUCUCAAAUUAAUAACCUAAACUUCCACUUUAAGGAAUUAGAAAACCAAGAGCAAACUAAACUCCAAGCAAGCAGAAGGAAGGAAAUAAUAAAAACUGGAACCGAAACACAUGAAAGAUAGAAUAGAAAGAUGAUAGAGAAAAUCGAAGAAACCAAAAGUGGGUUCUUUCAAAAGAUCAACAAGAUUGAUAACACUCACAAAGAAAAAUGAAGACUCAAAUGACUUAAACCAGGAAUGAAAAAGUAGACAUUACUACCUACCUCAUAAAAUAAAACAGAUUAUAAAUAAAACAGAGUAUGAGGAAAUACUAUGCACAUUGUAUGUCAACAAAUGAUAUAGCCUAGAUGAAAUGGGAAAAUUCCUGGAAGACACAAACUACAGAAACUGACUCAAGAAUACAUUGAAAAUCUAAAUUGACUUAUAACAAGUAGAGAGAUUAAUUUCUAGUUUUAAAAAGUUCCCACAAAGAAAAGCCCAGGCCCAAAUGGAUUCACUGGUGAAUUCUACUAAAUGUUUAAAGAAGAAUAAAUACCAAUUCUUCACAGACUUUUUCAUAACCUAAAAAGAGCAUCUGCAAAAAAUAAAUAAAUAAAUAAAUAAAUAAAUAAAUAAAUAAAUAAAUAAAUAAAAAUAAUAAUAAAAGCCCACAAUUAACAUGAUACUUAAUGGUGAAAGAAUGAAUGUUUUCCCUCCAAGAUCAGAAAUAAGACAAAGAUAUUCAUUCUCACUACUCCCAUUUAACAUUGUACUGGAGGUUCUAGCCAGCGCAAUUAAGCAAGAGAAAGAAAAAAGUAUCCAGAUUGGAAAAGUAGAUCUAUUUGCAGAAGCCAUGGCCUGGUAUAUAGGAAAUCCUAAGGAAUGACUCACACACAUACUCAAAACCAUCAGAAUUAACAAAUAAGUUCAACGAAGUUGUAAGAUACAAGAUCAAUCUUGUAUCUUCCAUCAAGAUAUAAGAUGUAAGAUACAAAAUCAAUUCUAUUUCUAUACAUUAGCGAUGUACUAUCCAGAAAUAAAAUUUUAAAAACAAUUCCUUUUAGAUUGGAAUCAAAAAGAACAAAACACUUUGGUAUAAAGUCAACAACAGAGGUGCAAGAAUUCUACACUAAGGACUACAAAACAUGUUGAUGGAAAUUAAGGAAGACUGAAAUAGAUGAAAAUAGUCUUCCAUGAUCAUGAAUUGAAAGAGUUAAUAUUGAUAAAUGGCAAUACUCCCCAAAGUGAUCUAUGGAUUCAACACAAGCACUAACAAAAUCCCGGCUGUAAUCAAUCUAAGCAAUGGAAGAUUAUUCAGCCAUAAAAACGAAGGACUGAUCUGUGCUACAACAUGGGUGCACCUUGAAAACAUUCUGCUAAGUGAAAGAAUCCAGUCAUAUUGUAUGAUUUCACUUAUAUGCAAUAUUGAGAAUAGCCAAAUCAAUAGAAACAGCAGAUCAGUUCUUCCUGGGACCAAGGGAGGGGAGAAUGAAGAGAGACUAGUAAUGAUUACAGAUUUUUGAGGGUUGGGUUAUGAAGAAGUUUUGAAAUUAGUUAGUGGUGAUGGUUGCACUACUCUCUGAACAUACUAAAAGCCACUGAACUGUAGACUUUAAAAAAGGUAAAUUUUAUGAUAUGUGAAUUAUAUCUUAAUAAAGCUGUUUUUUUUUUAAUGUC
Molecule: long non-coding RNA, 9010 nt
Organism: Homo sapiens (human)
Lineage: Eukaryota; Metazoa; Chordata; Mammalia; Primates; Hominidae
Exons: 2
Source: RefSeq, a predicted model, not a curated record